This 443-nucleotide ribosomal RNA is filed under the name uncultured Prevotella sp. RNAcentral's name for it is "bacterial SSU rRNA". It matches the Rfam family "Bacterial small subunit ribosomal RNA", at positions 355 to 794 of the family's 1533-position model. Lineage: Bacteria; Pseudomonadati; Bacteroidota; Bacteroidia; Bacteroidales; Prevotellaceae. The record is from RNAcentral.
UGAGGAAUAUUGGGUCAAUGGGCGAGAGCCUGAACCAGCCAAGUAGCGUGCAGGAAGACGGCCCUAUGGGUUGUAAACUGCUUUUAUAAGGGAAUAAAGUGGGUCACGUGUGACUUUUUGCAUGUACCUUAUGAAUAAGGACCGGCUAAUUCCGUGCCAGCAGCCGCGGUAAUACGGAAGGUCCGGGCGUUAUCCGGAUUUAUUGGGUUUAAAGGGAGCGUAGGCCGGAGAUUAAGCGUGUUGUGAAAUGUAGUGGCUCAACCUCUGCACUGCAGCGCGAACUGGUCUUCUUGAGUACGCACAACGUGGGCGGAAUUCGUGGUGUAGCGGUGAAAUGCUUAGAUAUCACGAAGAACUCCGAUUGCGAAGGCAGCUCACGGGAGCGCAACUGACGCUGAAGCUCGAAAGUGCGGGUAUCGAACAGGAUUAGAUACCCUGGUAGU